This 532-nucleotide unclassified non-coding RNA is filed under the name Hevea brasiliensis (rubber tree). The record is from RNAcentral. Lineage: Eukaryota; Viridiplantae; Streptophyta; Magnoliopsida; Malpighiales; Euphorbiaceae.
GGUACAAGAACACAAUCAUCCUCACAUUCUUCUAUUGCAAAUUGGGAACACAUUCUGCAAACUUCCAGGUGGACGUUUGAAACCAGGAGAGAACGAAAUCGAAGGUUUAAAAAGGAAACUGUCUAGUAAACUUGCAGCUAAUUCUCCUGGCAUUCAGCCAAAUUGGCAGGUAGGUGAGUGUGUGGCCAUCUGGUGGAGGCCAAAUUUUGAAACCAUAAUGUAUCCAUAUUGUCCUCCACACAUAACAAAACCCAAGGAGUGUAAGAAGCUCUUCGUUGUUCAUCUAUCUGAAAGAGAGUACUUCGCUGUCCCAAAAAAUCUGAAGCUUCUUGCGGUGCCAUUGUUUGAACUUUAUGACAAUGUUCAGAGAUAUGGACCUGUGAUAUCCACGAUUCCUCAACAGCUUUCCAGGUUCCAGUUCAACAUGAUCCACCCGUAGAUUAGGUUAGGUGGACAUUCAGAACCUCCUCCUGGCAUACAAUCCCAAAAAUACAUCAAUAUUUUUACUUUUCCAGUAGGCAUAUCUACCGAC